Molecule: ribosomal RNA, 169 nt
Filed under: uncultured bacterium
Lineage: Bacteria
Description: partial 16S ribosomal RNA
Rfam family: Bacterial small subunit ribosomal RNA
Source: RNAcentral
CCUACGGGAGGCAGCAGUGGGGAAUAUUGCACAAUGGAGGAAACUCUGAUGCAGCAACGCUGCGUGGAGGAUGACGCAUUUCGGUGUGUAAACUCUUUUUAUAUAGGAAGAUAAUGACGGUACUAUAUGAAUAAGCACCGGCUAACUCCGUGCCAGCAGCCGCGGUAAU